This is a long non-coding RNA of Anser cygnoides (Swan goose), 1678 nucleotides long. Lineage: Eukaryota; Metazoa; Chordata; Aves; Anseriformes; Anatidae. The record is from Ensembl.
UUUUUUUUUUUUUUUUUUUUUAAAGAUAGACUCGGUUUAAUUUGCUGGUUAUUAGCUGCUCGGGUUAAUUCUCAGCAUUUUAACUAAGGAGAUCUGGCCUUCAGCACAGAGUCUCCGUGCUGGUAAUUAAUAAGGGGGGGUAAAUAGAGAAAAAAAAUCGAGGAAGAGAGGCAGCGGAGAUAGAAAUGGAGUACGCUGCCUUUAAAAUUUGAAUGAAUUAAAUGAUGACGGUAUGUUAAUUAUAAAGGCACGGAAUUAGACAUGAAGAACAAGACGCUCGAGGAAAAAAAAAAAAAGAGCACAGAAAAUGGCCAUUCCCGACAGCCCCGCCGGGGUCCCUGCGGGACCAUCCCUGCUCUUUCACCCAAGGGUGUGUCCGCUGGAAAAAAAAAACCUUCCCAGGGCGCAGAACUGUGGGGUCCCCCCGGCCCCGACCCCAACCCUCGGGGCGAGCCCGGAGCUGCCCGAAUCCCACCCAAAACUUGAGCCCGAGGCGCGAUAUUGACCCCGAAACUCUUGCCUGCUCCCUUCUAAAUUUCCUAAACCCACCCAGCGUUAUGAUUUGCUGGAGGGAUAUCUACAUACGUGUUUUUAAAUCAUUUAAAGCCUUCCCUAUCCUUUUUUUUUUUUUCCCUCCUCCAGCCUCCAGCCUUUUGUUUUAUCGCGCCAUGGUGUCGGGGAUGCGACGGUUUAUAAAAGGCGGAAUUAUUUGGGGGCCCUUUGAUUUUAUUUUAUUUUUUUUUUUUUAGUUUUAUUCUUCCAGGCGAGGGCUCCGUGUAGAGGCUGGGAAAUAUUGAUCGGGGGGGCGAGCGACAUUUUUGAGCCGUGUAGAGGCCUGCUUUGGAGGCACGUCGCGAACCACAAGUUGUGUAAAUAGGAGACCGCAAAGCCCAGCCUGCUCAGAUGCUCCAAAGCGAGGAGCCGCAGAGCUUUCUGAUGCUCUUCUCCUUACCCCAAGACGGACAGAAAUACACCCACCAGCCUCCCCCCCCUUUCCAAUGCCAAAUUUUAGCACCCAGGGCCAAGCAAUCCCAUGCUCGGGGAAGUCUAGCACAUUUUGUCGCAACAGCUUUUCCUCCCCAAUUUCCCCCUGCGCCUGCACAUUCCCAGCGACAGCACAAUUCUGCAGUCCUACAGCUUCAGCCAGGCAGCAUUCCCGGCGUUAUUCCCGAUUUUCGCGCAGCAGAGGCAGGAGGAUGGAUCCUGCUGCGCCCCCGAGGUGCUGCCCGCGCCAGAUGCGCCCAUUGCCUCGCAAGUUACCACCGGGGCUGGGGGCUGAAGGGUGCCAGGAGGGGCUGGGGCACGAAAUAUCCCCCAGUGCCCCCUCCUCGCCCAUCACAGCACGUCCCAAAUAAAGACAUAGCAGGCAACGCAGUCCUUUUAAAAUCUUUUAUUAUUAUUAUUAUUAUAAUUAUUAUUAUUUACGUAAUGUCUCACGUAUACAAUACAAAUCCACGGUGUCCAGAUUUUUUUUUUUUUUCUGGCUGAAAUUGCUACAUUCAGAGGUUGAACACGCAGAACUAUGCUUUUACAUAAAACAAAUGACGAUUUUUUUUUUGUUUCGAGCAUGUUGCAUUAACAGAUAAGUCAAGACAAAUAGAUAACUAUACAUUCAGUGCAAUUUAGUUCUACACUACUUUAUAAGCACAAUAAAAUAAUACAAUACUGUGCGUUCUCA